This is a long non-coding RNA of Stegodyphus dumicola, 527 nucleotides long. NCBI's taxonomy places the organism in Eukaryota, Metazoa, Arthropoda, Arachnida, Araneae, Eresidae. The record is from RefSeq and is a predicted model, not a curated record.
CACGAUGCAGCUCCAAGCGCUCCUAUCGAAGAAACUGCUACUGCGCAUGUGACAGCUGGUCACUCCUUCUCCCUUGCACCUCCAAGCUCCAAGCUGCAUCCGACUUGAGCUCUGAUGCAUCGUCAAGCGUCCAUAGAGACCUUAUCUCAAAGAGCCGGAAAACGUUGUGCAGGUAGUACGGGUAGCUCGUUAUUCUCGAGAUAACAGAAGAACCUAUAGGACUUGGGAAGCCUGACACCGUAGUCUCUCUGUGCGAACUGAGAUCUUACAGUCUCAGAGUAGAGAAUGAUCAGAAGACUGGACGUACUUCAAAGUCGAGAGCAAAGUAUACAAGCAGAAUUUUCUGAAAUUGAGGCUAGCACUAUAUCAUAGAUUCUUAAAUAACACUGUUGAAUAUAAGUAUUUAUGCUCCAUUCAGGUAAUUCUAUUUGUUAUGUUUAGAGACUUCAUUUUUAGUAUAUAAAAGAUGAUUAAAAGCUAUGUACAAUAAUUAUUAUGUAUUCUGAAUAAAGUCUGGAAAACAAAAA